Molecule: long non-coding RNA, 2882 nt
Filed under: Sus scrofa (pig)
Lineage: Eukaryota; Metazoa; Chordata; Mammalia; Artiodactyla; Suidae
Description: lncRNA (ENSSSCG00030038848.1)
Source: RNAcentral
AUUGCCUCAUUUGACAAGGAUCUGGAGACAGCAGCUCGCUUUGGAUCCCAGAGAUGAUUCCAGAUGGAAAGAAGGAAGGAAAGGAGGGAAGAAGAACACAUUUAUAGAAACCAUGGAUUAUUUUUAAGUGCCUUAAAAUAUGGAUUCUGCAUCAGCAGUUGUGGGAAGAGGCAGGACUCUGUAUUUCUAACAAGACCACAGGUGAUGCUGACACUCAUGGUCCUCAGACCACACUGAAUGAUGAGGCCUUUCAACUCAGAAUCCAGACUUAAGACCAAAUAAGGAUCUUAUGGCUGAAAAGCUUCCAGGUACACUUCUCUGAGUAACCAGUACACUGGGGAAAAAGUGGAAACCAGGACUGUUCCAGGCAAGCCUAGCUGUUGGGGACCCUCCCAUACCAUGCGGCUGGCCAGCCUCUUCUGCAUACAGCGCCCACCCCUAAUGAGAUCCUGGAAGAGCGUUGCCUGCUUGCCUUGUACACCCUCCUCAGUACUCAGGCAACCACGUUUCCUAGAGAUUAUCUCAAGAAAACCUCGAGGGACUUGUCAUCAGGUCUCAUGUCCAGGUGCAGAUCCCCUAGUUAUGGCCCUGAACAGAUACAUCCUCCUGCAAACAGGCUUUUGACGUGUACUAAGGAAGCUUUGGCAAUUUAUAUCACCCCCAGUAGUAUGGAUAUUAAAGGAUGUUAAUAUAUCAUUUAAUGUUAAUGUUGUCAGAAGCAGAAGGUGGAGCCAGCAAGCAAUUCAGCAGACAAGGGAAAUCAGCACCAUGAGCUCGCAUCCACAGCUGUUGCUGUCCCUGUGUCCUUGGGAAGAGCUACCUGAUGGAAGAAGGUCUCAUUUGAGUUUCUGCCCUGUUUUCUUCAUUUCAUCAAGUGUAGCUCUCCAUCUAUGAAAGCCAGCAACCCUCAGCUUGGCCACGCUGUGGGCACAAAGUCACACCAGCUGUAAAACCCACCUCUCACUGAAAAAAAAGCCCCUGGUGCUCAAACAGGAAGUCCAGUCUCUGCAGCUGCCUUAGAAGACUUUGUUCUGGGAGCCCCGUCUUCCCCAGAGGCAUCUGGCAAGAGUUCGCAAACCCCCCUGCCAGAAGCAUCACUGUGGGUAUCUGCUCUUUGCGCUUCCCACUGCUCUUCUGGGGAACUCUGCUUAAAAGCCACCCACGGAAGCUUCGCAGUUUUUCCUGUUGCCAAUGCUAACCAAGAAAAAUCGAGUCUAAGCAGGGGCUGCCUGCCGAAGCCGCCUAGGCUGUUGCUUGUCCAGGGGCCAGCGUGGAGCCAGGUUCCAUGCAGAAGUGGGGAGAAAGGCUGUUUCCUCCGCCCUCUGCGCUGCUCUCCCAGGGGAAGCAGGGACUCUGGCUCACCAAUUCUGCAAGAAGCCACUUUAACUCUCAGUCUGCUCUGGCCAGCUUCCCCGCUUCAUGGUGCGGAUGCAGUGGCAGCCCGUCGAGUUCAUUCGCUACAGGAAAGGGGAUGGUAAAUGGACUGUUAAGAGGAAGCCGGUCCUGGCAGGGUGCUUUUGAUGGGCAAAAGGACAUGAUGACAGGCGCCGACGAAGCAUUCCUCUCCACCUUGUGGGAAAGAGCACAAGCCUGGAACAGGUGCAGUCACACACACACACACACACACACACACACACACACACACACACACACACACACACACACACACACACUGGAACUUGUAACUGCUUACUCAUCUCAAAUAACUUAAAGCAUGUCAUCACCACUCGAGGCCACAGGAAUGAAUCCUGCCACAGAGUGGAGAUCUGUUUUCUUCCUUAAAGCCCUCAGAGUGUUCUGCUUCAAUUCCCUGCAUGGGAUGUAGAUAUAUUAAAUACCAAAAAAAAUGACCAUAAAGUGAACAUUAUGGUUGAGAAAUGAGGUCCAAGGAUGCCAAGAAAUUCAAAACUGAGUGUUCCCCCAGCAGCUCUAACUCAGCCAUUUUUGCACUAAUGCGUCCUUUCCCAUUUCGGAAUCCUCGGUGGAACACCCAUUUCAUAUGGACUCUGGAUCCUUCAGUUGAGCCAGGGGAGGAAUGCCUGGAGUCCCUCUGUUCCUUCUCACUUCCUCAGGUCGUGGGAAAAACCCCCUCUCAGACCCUUCCACGGAGCCCUUGAACGGGGCCAGGCAUGGCACAGCAUGCUCUAGAGCCUGGAGCGGGGGCAGGGAGGGGGCAGCCUAGCCCCAGGAAGCUGGACCAGUUCCCUUCCCCAGCCGCUCCCUGAGAGCCAAGAGGCUAGUCCUGGCUCCACACAGCAACUGUAUCCAUGCUGAUAUGCGGGAUGCAUUAGUGGUUCCACACAACUGAUGUGCUCAGGCACCUCCAGGGUACAUUAGUGGAAGAGGCUUCAGCAGCUGGUGGCUCCUCUUCAGGCAUAAUUUAUCUAUUGCACUUUACUUAAUGUGCAAAAUUAAAUUUAUGCUGAAUCCAUGUGUAUUACCUACUGUGCAUGAGCAGCAUGAAAUAUACCAUAAAGCAAAUCAGCACAGAGCCAUGCUCUUAAUUGCUAAUGGCUUUCAACACACUUCAUUGUGGUCUAACCAAACUUGGACUCUGCUCUACACUAAGAAUCCUGCUCGUAUCAAGGUUGAAAAUGCUUCUCCCAGAGAACUUCUGGAGAACCGAAGGACCAAACAGAAAUGCUUUUGAGCCAGUCUUUCUAGAGCCUGUGUCUUUUAGAGCACAGAUUCUGUGCUUUGCACUAAUGUGAUCGAUACAGUUGCUACAUAGGACAUGAUUUUGCUGAAAAUGAACAAAUCAAUGUCAACUUUUUAAAAGUGGAAUAUAAGAAAUAACCCCAGGAUUCAGUCCAAGUUCUGCCAAUUUGGGUUUCUGGUUCCAUAUAGUAAAACAUAGGGAUUAGAAUGGUUGAUUUCCACCC